AGUGUGAUUCAAAGGACACUCUGAAGAAAGUGAAAAGACAACCCACAUAUAUUGAGACACAGGUUAUGCUUCCAUCACAGUAAGUUUACUGCAGUGGUGACAAUAAGACCUGUAACAUUU
This is a small nucleolar RNA of Diceros bicornis minor, 120 nucleotides long. RefSeq annotates it as small nucleolar RNA SNORA1. The record is from RefSeq and is a predicted model, not a curated record. NCBI's taxonomy places the organism in Eukaryota, Metazoa, Chordata, Mammalia, Perissodactyla, Rhinocerotidae. The transcript has a single exon.